CAUCUCCUGACUUUGUCAGGGAGUGCUCAGGGGAGGAGCAGACAGGAGGUAGAGGACUGUCCUCCUCCUGCCUCACCCAGGGACAAGGGAGGACUGAGACAACGGCCAUUUGUCUGGUGGUCACCUUGUGGAAACUCCCUGCCCUUCUUUUUCUAGGCCUGUUUUCUCUCUGCAGAAUGAACCGCUCUAAAAGGUCCCGCCCACUUAGAAUUUUCUAGGAUGCACAAUUAGCCUCUCUUUCUGGGGUGUUCCCUGAUGGUGCUUAAGGAGGCCUGCCUGGUCUUCCUGCCGGUGCAAAGCUUUCUGCCUGCCUUCUCCACCUCCCACCAAGCACCCUCCUUAUCAGACACGUGAGGUUCAUUUUUCACCAGAGUUUACAAGCAGGAUCUGGAAGAGCCGGUCUGCAGAAGUAGUGCCGGCACUUGCUGGCUCCCGCUCCAACAGGGAAGCAAGUGGCUUGGAACCAGGAGACCUGCCUGACAGCACUGUGAUUUUGGUAGAAUUCUUAUGCCCAUUUUCCUGGAGGGGAAACUGAGGGACAGAGAGCUGAAGCAAAUAAGUGGAGAAGCUGAGAUACAAACCCAGGCUGCCUGGCUCCAGAGUCCAUGCCCUUGACAUCGCCACACCUCCGGAGGCGCCGUGCCUGGGUUCAAGUCCUGGCGCACCAGCCGCAUCGCAUGAGCCAAGACUCUGGGACAAGCUGGGUCUUCUGCUGCCCCCCCCCCCACUACCCUCCAUCUCCAUCCUGCACAUACUGCGAGGGCCAGGGUCUCCAGGGACCUCCCUGCUGCCUUAUCUUCCUCCUUCUCAGCCAACAGCCAGCCCUAUCCGAGACACCAUCCGGCAGCAUCUUCUUCGGCAGGCGGGACACGCCUUCCUGUGGCUGCCCUCCCACCUCUCCGGCUACUCACCUCCUCCCCCAGCCCUGGAAGUCACAGGUUUCUGGUCUGCAAUUCUGCCGGCUUCACCAAGCUGUCUGUUGUGGUGCGGGGAGAGGAAGGGACACAGCUAUUGAGGAGAAAGGCUCUGGACGCUAGGUUGCUGGGGAUACCUGGCCCCUGCGGCCACUGCCCCACUUCUCCCCACCCCCAUUCCCUCCAGAGAACCCUCUGAACCACACAGGAGCUCACUCAAGGAGCCCAACACACCACAGCAAAGCAGGUGCACUGUGUGUGGGCAAAGGACAUACGUCGCGCGUGUGCCUUUUGUCCAGGAGUCUAUGAAGAAUUACAGCUAAUCCCUAGCUAGGGGGUCAGGAGACACCCCAGACCCAGACUGGGGCUCUGACCCAAGUCAGUUGCUUGUCUUGGACCUUCCUUCUUAUCUUUGGCUUGUCCCAGGAUCUAUCCCCAGGAGAUAUGUAUUAUAAACCUAAGCUUCUUUGUGCUUCUAAUACUAAAACUGUACCCGAAAUAACUGUCAGAAGUUCUUCCCUCGGGAGAGGGGGACUAAAGACCUGAAAGUGGAAGGAGACUGACCAACUUUUCACUGAGGAUCUUUUCAUGCUGUUUGAUUUUCUUUUUGUUUUAAUCAUGUAUAUGGAAUAUCUUUUUUUUUUAAGAUUUCAUUUAUUUAUCUGAGAGAGAGACCAAGCACAAGGGGGGAGGGUCAGAGGCAGAGGGAGAAGCAGAUUCCCUGCCGAGCAGGGAGCCUGACGUGGGGCUCCAUCCCAAGACUGCAGGACAGUGACCUGAUCUGAAGGCAGAUGCUUAACCGACUGAGCCACCCAGGCGCCCCUGUAAUGUCUUUUUAAUAAUUAAAUUACCCUCCCCCUCACAGAGGGAAAUGGUGGAGCCAAGGAGUUGGUCUGUAUCCUGUAGGGCAACAGGGAGCUAACGGAGGUUUCCAAGCAAGCAUGGGACAUGCUCAGAUGUGCAGAAGAAUUGACUGCUACAGAGCCAUGGCCUGGAGUGAGCAGCAGGACACCUGCUAGGAGGCUGGGGUACUUCUCUGGAGUCUAACCUGGACAGGGGGCCCAUCAAAUUCGGGGCCCACAUUGUGGCGCUCACAGAGAGGUAAGUUUUCCUGGAUCAAACCCCAAGACUAAACACAGACUGCAUACACACUACACACAGUCUCCUAUACAGGGUGGAUGCACAUCUGUGGCCCCAACGAGACAGGACAAUCAGGCCAGGCUCAAGAGUUCAUUGCCACUUCUGUUCCCCUAAAACAAGCAAGAAUGCCAGAGAAGAUGGUGGCUUGUGAGGUUGAUGCUCUCCAGAGGAGCAAGGUGCCUUAGAAAUGAGAGAAAUGAGAACCUUUCUUUGCUUCAUGCCCACCUCUCUGUUCAGUCAAAGCUGAGAUAGAUUAAGAUUUAAUGAAUUUAUUUAUUUAGAGAGAGUCCGAGCAGGGGGAGGGGCAGAGAGAGAGAGACUCCCUGAGCUCAGCGCAGAGCCCCUCUCCUAGGAGGUUCCCAAUUGCCCCUCCUGUGUGCAUCCUUGCUCCCUGGCACUGGCCAGGUUCACACAGAGGCUCUGGAAGAUGAAAGAGGGCUGACAGUUGAUAUGUAAGCUCAGAGCCUGGAUUUCUUGGGCCCUCAGGAUCAGAAGUCAGAGACCUUUUGCAUGGAACAACCUUGGAGUCCUGGGAUAGAGUCCAGGCUCCAGGGUGCCCUGGACUUGAAUUACGUAACAGGGCUGCCCUUGUGUAUUUAACCUCUCUGAGCUCAGCUGACACAUCUGUAAAAUGGGAGUCAUCAAGCCCUCCUCCAAGGCUGGCCCAAAGCUUGGAUGGCCUUGUGGGCAUCUACCCAGCACAUGAUGCCAAGGCGGGGAGGGAGGGGGCUCUUGUCUCCUUCAGUUCCCUCUUUGUCAGCAGGGAGAGAGGGCCAAGUAGAGGAGGGUGAUGGAGAGGAAGGAGAGAAGUCCCAAAUUAGCUCAGGAGAAGGCAGGAGGAGUCCUGGUUGAUCUUUCUCUCUCCCUAUUUACGUCUAUGCCCAGAUGGUUGCUUAUCUGUUUAAAGCAUCAGAAGUUUCUUAUCAGCAAAGGGGGAGGUAGCGUGAAGAUCCACAGCUUAAAGGCUAAGACUCCAUUGGUUCCGAUUCCCCUCACUUUUACAGUCAGAAACCUAGAAACUUCUCUGAACAUCCCCAUCCCCAAGUGGAAUGCCUACAAGAGACCAAGGGACAAAUGCUUGUUCCUAGUCCCUUGAGAGUUAAUGCAAAAACACUGAGCCCUCCCCGCGCAGGCACUCCUACUCCUUUUUCUACCUCAUUGUCACCUUUUGCCAUACACUGUUCCAGUUAAGCCAGGUGUCCUUAUUUUAUUAUUUACUUAUUUUAUUUUUUUAAAGAAAAUACCCAUUAGAGCUGGUCCUUAACAGGGACCUAGUCCAAGUUCUGCCACCGCGUGACCACAGGAAUUUAUUCCCCCUGUUUAUGCCUUGGCAGCCUUAUCUUUACAAGGUGGAUGGACUAGACCUAAGUUCUAAUCUCAGGUUCUGUGGCUGAACUUUAGAUGUGCAUAGACUCCUUUAAAAAUUGA
Molecule: long non-coding RNA, 3482 nt
Organism: Mustela lutreola (European mink)
Lineage: Eukaryota; Metazoa; Chordata; Mammalia; Carnivora; Mustelidae
Exons: 4
Source: RefSeq, a predicted model, not a curated record